GGGAGUGGGCGGGGCUAUGGGGCUUCAUACAGGUGUAGGAGGGUGUAACAUGGCGUCACAGGGGAGUGGGCGGGGCUACAGGGCUUCAUACAGGUGCAGGAGGGUGUAACAUGGCGUCACAGGGGAGUGGGCGGGGCUAUGGGGCUUCAUACAGGUGUAGGAGGGUGUAACAUGGCGUCACAGGGGAGUGGGCGGGGCUACAGGGCUUCAUACAGGUGUAGAAGGGUGUAACAUGGCGUCACAGGGGAGUGGGCGGGGCUAUGGGGCUUCAUACAGGUGUAGGAGGGUGUAACAUGGCGUCACAGGGGAGUGGGCGGGGCUACAGGGCUUCAUACAGGUGUAGAAGGGUGUAACAUGGCGUCACAGGGGAGUGGGCGGGGCUAUGGGGCUUCAUACAGGUGUAGGAGGGUGUAACAUGGCGUCACAGGGGAGUGGGCGGGGCUACAGGGCUUCAUACAGGUGUAGAAGGGUGUAACAUGGCGUCACAGGGGAGUGGGCGGGGCUAUGGGGCUUCAUACAGGUGUAAGAGGGUGUAACAUGGCGUCACAGGGGAGUGGGCGGGGCUAUGGGGCUUCAUACAGGUGUAAGAGGGUGUAACAUGGCGUCACUGGGGAGUGGGCGGGGCUAUGGGGCUUCAUACAGGUGUAAGAGGGUGUAACAUGGCGUCACUGGGGAGUGGGCGGGGCUAUGGGGCUUCAUACAGGUGUAAGAGGGUGUAACAUGGCGUCACAGGGGAGUGGGCGGGGCUACAGGGCUUCAUACAGGUGCAAGAGGGUGUAACAUGGCGUCACAGGGGAGUGGGCGGGGCUAUGGGGCUUCAUACAGGUGUAGGAGGGUGUAACAUGGCGUCACUGGGGAGUAUGACAGUUUAAAAGGCGGUUGUCAAAUUUGACAGUUCAUAAUUUAUUUUAAAUUGACAGUUGAAAAAGCGGUUGUCAAAUUUGACAGUUCAUAAUUUAUUUUAAAUUGACAGUUUAAAAAGCGGUUGUCAAAUUUGACAGUUCAAAACGUGGUUGUCAAAUUUGACAGUUCAUAAUUUAUUUCAAAUUGGGGAGUAUGACAGCUGUCAAAAAGAGCAUAAGGCACAACCAUUAGCAACAUUUUUCGCAUAGUGUCAAAAAAGCUGUCAAAAAGUUUGACAGUUCAUAAUUUAUUUAAUUAAAAUAAAAAUAUGACAAAAUUUGUUGAAUUUUUUUAUAACUUA
Long non-coding RNA from Anopheles funestus (African malaria mosquito), 1204 nucleotides. RefSeq lists it as uncharacterized. Lineage: Eukaryota; Metazoa; Arthropoda; Insecta; Diptera; Culicidae. The transcript is spliced from 3 exons. The record is from RefSeq and is a predicted model, not a curated record.